This 467-nucleotide ribosomal RNA is filed under the name uncultured bacterium. RNAcentral's name for it is "partial 16S ribosomal RNA". It matches the Rfam family "Bacterial small subunit ribosomal RNA", at positions 28 to 506 of the family's 1533-position model. The record is from RNAcentral.
GACGAACGCUGGCGGCGUGCUUAACACAUGCAAGUCGAACGGAAAGGCCCUGCUUUUGUGGGGUGCUCGAGUGGCGAACGGGUGAGUAACACGUGAGUAACCUGCCCUUGACUUUGGGAUAACUUCAGGAAACUGGGGCUAAUACCGGAUAGGAGCUCCUGCUGCAUGGUGGGGGUUGGAAAGAUUCGGCGGUUGGGGAUGGACUCGCGGCUUAUCCGCUUGUUGGUGGGGUAGUGGCUUACCAAGGCUUUGACGGGUAGCCGGCCUGGGAGGGUGACCGGCCACAUUGGGACUGGGAUACGGCCCAGACUCAUACGGGAGGCAGCAGUGGGGAAUAUUGCACAAUGGGCGGAAGCCUGAUGCAGCAACGCCGCGUGCGGGAUGACGGCCUUCGGGUUGUAAACCGCUUUCGCCUGUGACGAAGCGUGAGUGACGGUAAUGGGUAAAGAAGCACCGGCUAACUACGU